RNAcentral lists this small RNA (140 nucleotides) under Arabidopsis thaliana (thale cress). RNAcentral's name for it is "ATSL255810". Lineage: Eukaryota; Viridiplantae; Streptophyta; Magnoliopsida; Brassicales; Brassicaceae. The record is from RNAcentral.
AACCCACCCAUCUCGUGUAUUCCUCUAGAGCAGUUACCUGGGGGAAAAAAAAUUAAAGGUGUGUUUCAAUUCACCAAGACUGUCGUCAAAGCUACCGUAGCUAUGGUCUUAACCGAUCUACAGGUAAAUAAAUAAUCUUU